Cynocephalus volans (Philippine flying lemur) is the source of this 753-nucleotide long non-coding RNA. RefSeq lists it as uncharacterized. The record is from RefSeq and is a predicted model, not a curated record. NCBI's taxonomy places the organism in Eukaryota, Metazoa, Chordata, Mammalia, Dermoptera, Cynocephalidae. The transcript has 4 exons.
ACUCCACCAUCUUUUGUCUGGAAAUUUGGGAUACUGCGGUCGCCAGACGGUGCUCCUCAGAUUUUGGGUUUGGAUUGUACCUCCCGAGGCUAUGCUGCCAGAGUGCGCUAUGGGUUUAGAAGAGCAACAAAAGAUUAAUAAAUCUCCGGAGUUGGUGUCAUUUGAGGAUGUGGCUGUGGACUUCACCUGGGAGGAGUGGCAGGACCUGAAUGAUGCUCAAAGGACUUUGUACAGGGAUGUGAUGCUGGAGACCUACAGCAACCUGGUGUCACUGAAUGUCCAGAUAGAUGAUGACCUAGUGGAGAGGAACCAAGAAUGUCAUGGUAGAUGCUUGCAGCAAAUUGUAAUCACCAACAGCAACACAGCAGCUGAGGAGAGAGUUGUGUUAGGAAAAUCAUUUUAUUUGAAUUCAUAUCAUGUUUUAAGUUGGAUUAUAAAUAAUGGAAACCAUUCAGGAAAGGGACAUGAGGAGUUUUACAUAUGUCAGAAUGCCCUUCUUCCUAGAGAGCCUGAUGAGAUGCCUGCUGGAGAGAAAUCUGAUGACCAUCAUCCAAAUGGAAAAUUGCCGAGACAUCAUGAGCAUCUUAGUCAGCAUCCCAAUAUUCAAACUGGGAAGCAGCCUUUAGAAUACAGUGGAAUAGGAAAAUUGCCCUACACAGAGCCAAUGAUAUUUAUAAAUAAAGAGGUUCAUAUGGAUGAAACCACCUGUAAGCAUAAUGAAUAUUGGAAAGGCUGUGGUAAGUCAGCUGUCAU